CGGACAUUAGCGCAGUUUGGUAGCGCACUAUUCUGGGGGAGUAGGGGUCGCUGGUUCAAAUCCAGUAUGUCCGACCA
This 77-nucleotide transfer RNA is filed under the name Photobacterium sanctipauli. RNAcentral's name for it is "tRNA-Pro". It matches the Rfam family "tRNA". Rfam says of the family: Transfer RNA (tRNA) molecules are approximately 80 nucleotides in length. Their secondary structure includes four short double-helical elements and three loops (D, anti-codon, and T loops). Further hydrogen bonds mediate the characteristic L-shaped molecular structure. tRNAs have two regions of fundamental functional importance: the anti-codon, which is responsible for specific mRNA codon recognition, and the 3' end, to which the tRNAs corresponding amino acid is attached (by aminoacyl-tRNA synthetases). tRNAs cope with the degeneracy of the genetic code in two manners: having more than one tRNA (with a specific anti-codon) for a particular amino acid; and 'wobble' base-pairing, i.e. permitting non-standard base-pairing at the 3rd anti-codon position. The record is from RNAcentral. Lineage: Bacteria; Pseudomonadati; Pseudomonadota; Gammaproteobacteria; Vibrionales; Vibrionaceae.